UGGCCUAUGGUGUAAUUGGCAGCACGCCGGUUUCUGGUACCGUCAGUCGAGGUUCGAGUCCUUGUAGGCCAG
This 72-nucleotide transfer RNA is filed under the name Demequina zhanjiangensis. Its description in RNAcentral is "tRNA-Gln". It matches the Rfam family "tRNA". From Rfam's summary of the family: Transfer RNA (tRNA) molecules are approximately 80 nucleotides in length. Their secondary structure includes four short double-helical elements and three loops (D, anti-codon, and T loops). Lineage: Bacteria; Bacillati; Actinomycetota; Actinomycetes; Micrococcales; Demequinaceae. The record is from RNAcentral.